UACGUAGGUGGCAAGCGUUGUCCGGAUUUAUUGGGUUUAAAGGGUGCGUAGGCGGUUCCAUAAGUCAGUGGUGAAAUACAAUAGCUUAACUAUUGAGGUGCCAUUGAUACUGCGGAACUUGAGUACAGACGAGGUAGGCGGAAUUGACGGUGUAGCGGUGAAAUGCUUAGAUAUCGUCAAGAACACCGAUAGCGAAGGCAGCUUACUAGACUGUAACUGACGCUGAGGCACGAAAGUGUGGGGAGCAAACAGG
This 253-nucleotide ribosomal RNA is filed under the name uncultured bacterium. RNAcentral describes it as "partial 16S ribosomal RNA". It matches the Rfam family "Bacterial small subunit ribosomal RNA", at positions 524 to 776 of the family's 1533-position model. The record is from RNAcentral.